AAGACCCAAAAACUAACAUAUUUAGCAUUUAUUUUCGAUUUGUAAUCCCUUGAGGCCCGCGUAGUAAUAUCUUAAUCACACAUUACGCUGAAGACGGGUUCACAAAAAAGAAUUUCGAAUGGUUAACAAUAAUACAUCGCUCAAGGUGAAUAAUUAUCUAUUUUAACAUAACAACUAAUUUCAACAGUAAAAACAAAUAACAAAACAUUGUCAAAUUUGAAACAGAAGUGUACGAGUUGUCCUACGCUUCAGACUUGACAUUCACUAAACAUGCAUGCUGAAAUUGACAUGGUUGAUUUUGUAACACAAUCAUACACAUUCAAGUUUUGAAAUCGACAAGUG
This 342-nucleotide long non-coding RNA is filed under the name Mytilus galloprovincialis (Mediterranean mussel). Lineage: Eukaryota; Metazoa; Mollusca; Bivalvia; Mytilida; Mytilidae. The record is from RNAcentral.